AUAUAGCACCGAAGCUGCGGCAUCAGGCGUAUCACUAAUACGCCUUACGAUUAACAAGCUAGAAUGGCGCGAAGCGUCAUGAAAGGUUGUUCAAGCAACCCGAACGUUGAGUCGGGCAUCUUAGAGUAAGGAUGAUUAGUGAUACGCCUGUUGGGUAGGGGAGCGUUGUGUAAGCGGAAGAAGGUUCAUCGAGAGGUGGGCUGGACGUAUCACAAGUGCGAAUGCUGACAUAAGUAACGAUAAAACGGGUGAAAAACCCGUUCGCCGGAAGACCAAGGGUUCCUGUCCAACGUUAAUCGGGGCAGGGUGAGUCGGC
This 316-nucleotide ribosomal RNA is filed under the name Haemophilus influenzae. RNAcentral describes it as "bacterial LSU rRNA". It matches the Rfam family "Bacterial large subunit ribosomal RNA", at positions 1186 to 1388 of the family's 2925-position model. The record is from RNAcentral. Lineage: Bacteria; Pseudomonadati; Pseudomonadota; Gammaproteobacteria; Pasteurellales; Pasteurellaceae.